This 1025-nucleotide long non-coding RNA is filed under the name Mus spicilegus (steppe mouse). RNAcentral describes it as "lncRNA (ENSMSIG00000000277.1)". The record is from RNAcentral. Lineage: Eukaryota; Metazoa; Chordata; Mammalia; Rodentia; Muridae.
GGGUAGUAUGCAGAAUUUAACCUGAUAUAGGUCACGAAGUUCUUUGAGCAGUAGGCCCACACCCAGCCCACACUCUGACUCCAAUCUAUUUGCUUUGCAGGGAGACAGAGGAAGGAGUCCACAGAGGCAUCACCAAGUUUCCUGGGAAACAGUAGGUCACACAUCUCCUGGAGCUGCUUCUAGAAGACCUGACCCAGAUGGCAGGAAUCUCACCCACGUGUGUGGAGGCACCACCCCAAUUUGCACACAAGAGUCAUCUGCUUACUUAGCAUCUGGAGCAGGUUGGUCGGGACCAACCUCAUCUGAAGAGCUUCUGGUCAUCUUGAACUUAACUCGUCCCUCAACUGCCUGAAGGUACUUGAUGGUGAGGGCACUUAGUUUCCUGGGACACUGAAGGUACUUGAUGGUGAGGGCACUUAGUUUCCUGGGGCAUUGACUAACUAGCACCCUUCCAGGGAGAUAAAAAUUCUGCCUCAACAGAGAUGGUGCCCUGAGCAUCCCACUGUGUGUUCACACACCUGACUCAGGCACGCCACCUUUGCCUGCAUGAGUGUGCAAGGAUGCACGGGACGUUUGGAUGGUUAUAGUGCUGCAGCAGUACCAUAUAGGAAAAACUAUCAUCUUCUAUUCAAGUGGAAUCUCUAGCUGGUAUGGAGACCUAACAUUCCAGGUGAGUCUAGGCCGAGGGUCCACCCUGCUUCAGGAAUGCCUCUGGAAGGCAGAGCCACCUUAAGCCAUGCUACAGAGACAGGAGGAAUAGCGAGCCCUUUUGUGAGAUAAUGUUCUUUUUCUUACCAGAGCUUCCCUUCUCUAGAGCAGCCACCUGAGGCUGCAGCAAUGCAGCUUUCUAAGUCCGGUCCACUUCUCUAAAUGACUCAGAAAAGCUCUCUCUGUCAUGUGGCUGCCUGUCCACCAUGUGUCUGACCUUCCUCCUGGUGGCUUUACAAAAACCACCAGGCCUUUACUCUUCCUUAUCUCCGUCUCCCUCCUCCAGGCAGCCACCAGGAUUUACAGCUUGUCUGCGU